CCUACGGGUGGCAGCAGUGGGGAAUAUUGCACAAUGGGGGAAACCCUGAUGCAGCGACGCCGCGUGAGUGAAGAAGUAUCUCGGUAUGUAAAGCUCUAUCAGCAGGGAAGAAAAUGACGGUACCUGACUAAGAAGCCCCGGCUAACUACGUGCCAGCAGCCGCGGUAAUACGUAGGGGGCAAGCGUUAUCCGGAUUUACUGGGUGUAAAGGGAGCGUAGACGGCGCUGCAAGUCCGGAGUGAAAGCCCAUGGCUUAACCAUGGUACUGCUCUGGAAACUGUUUCCCUUGAGUAUCGGAGAGGUCAUCGGAAUUCCUAGUGUAGCGGUGAAAUGCGUAGAUAUUAGGAAGAACACCAGUGGCGAAGGCGGAUGACUGGACGACAACUGACGGUGAGGCGCGAAAGCGUGGGGAGCAAACAGGAUUAGAUACCCUGGUAGUC
RNAcentral lists this ribosomal RNA (440 nucleotides) under uncultured bacterium. RNAcentral describes it as "partial 16S ribosomal RNA". It matches the Rfam family "Bacterial small subunit ribosomal RNA", at positions 338 to 795 of the family's 1533-position model. The record is from RNAcentral.